This is a long non-coding RNA of Eucalyptus grandis, 694 nucleotides long. RefSeq lists it as uncharacterized. The record is from RefSeq and is a predicted model, not a curated record. The transcript is spliced from 4 exons. Lineage: Eukaryota; Viridiplantae; Streptophyta; Magnoliopsida; Myrtales; Myrtaceae.
UGCUGGAAUUCAAGGAGUGUGCUAUAGAAGUACAUGUCGAUUUUGUUAGAAAGGCAGUCCGUGCUAUUGAUCGCUGUGUAAUCAAGUUGGAGAGAGCAGCAGAGCGAUGCAUCAGUGUUUUGCUGGAGCUGAUUAAGAUUAAAGUCAAUUAUAUGGUUCAAGAAGCCAUUAUAGUUAUUAAGGACAUAUUCAGAAGAUAUCCUAACACCUAUGAGUCCAUUAUUGCUACCCUAUGUGAGAGCUUAGACACUCUUGAUGAGCCAUAGGCCAAGGCAUUAAUGAUUUGGAUUAUUGGCGAAUAUGCAGAAAGAAUUGACAAUGCUGAUGAGCUGCUGGAGAGCUUUCUGGAGAGUUUCCCUGAAGAGCCUUCACAAGUCCAGUUGCAAUUAUUGACAGCGACUGUCAAAUUAUUUUUGCAGAAGCCAACUGAAGGCCCGCAGCAAAUGAUCCAGAUUGGUUAUCUCGAAUGCUGCAAGCAACGAGGUUUUGCAAGCUGCUUUAUCUAGGCAUGCCCUCCUCUGAAAGGGGAAGAUUACUUGUUUUAUUGUCAUCCUGAAAAUCAGAAAAACACCACAUAAUCAGAAACUGCAGAAAUGGUUUGUCCCAUUUACCUUUCUCCUUCUACAGUUGUCUGUUCAUCAAUUUGUUCAUGUACAUGCCUUCUCAAAAGACUAUGCCCAUCUUUUCCCACUGA